GCAAUUACAGUUCGGGCCGAUUUUUGGUUGAUCCGACCUAAUUAACACCGUUCGUUUGAUUUAUUUAAAUUACCAUUGAAAUUCAAAAGAUUCAAAAUCAAGACGAAAGUUUAUAAUUAUUGGUUUGUCUAAGAGUUCAUGAGUUUCUUUUCAAGGUAUGUUCCAUUUUUAACUUCUUUAUUAUUUUUAGGCCGCAGGUUACAUUUAUGAAAAGUAAUAUAUGUGUGACAUGUGAGUUUCUUUGUGCUUCUAUAUGUCCUUUUUAUAAGAGAUCUUAAUUUUUAUACAUAAAAAUUGUAAAAAGGAUAUUUUCUUCUACUAAAAUUGUAAGAAGAUAAGAUAUCUCAUUCUUUUUUGUGUGUGUGCGCGCUUCUACAAGCACCAUUUAGAAUUUAUAUAGGUGUAUAUUCUACUACUUUAUGUCUUUUUGCUUUUGGGAAUUCUAUCUUUUGAACUAUAAGAAAUUCGUUGAUAUGGACUUAUGACCUCAUUAAUUUGUGGAAAUUUUCUAUUGGAAACUCUACAGUAGUUACAUUACAAAAACACUAGAGUUUUAAGUGUGUUUAGAAGAAAUGAUUUUCUAAUACUUUUCCUUAUUAGUUUUAUAGUCUUUCUAUAAUUAAGAGAUUUUUAGUCUUUUCAUAUAAAACAUCUUUAUUUUUAUGCAUCAUAAAUCUUAAAAAGGUAAUUUUCUUCCACUCAAAUUGUGAAAAAGGCUAGAGAUCUCA
Molecule: long non-coding RNA, 728 nt
Filed under: Solanum tuberosum (potato)
Lineage: Eukaryota; Viridiplantae; Streptophyta; Magnoliopsida; Solanales; Solanaceae
Description: long non-coding RNA (STUB_LNC007199)
Source: RNAcentral